RNAcentral lists this long non-coding RNA (480 nucleotides) under Gallus gallus (chicken). The record is from RNAcentral. Lineage: Eukaryota; Metazoa; Chordata; Aves; Galliformes; Phasianidae.
GGAGACUUAGGGUUAUUCCGCGACAUAUCAGUAGGAUUUUGAUAAACUGAAAGGGAUGAAGGUGCUACAGAGAGGCUAGAGGAGGAAGAUGAUGCAACUGUGUCCGUUGAAGCUGAACUGGAAACAGAGAAAUCAGUUCCAUUUCCCAUGGAUUCCAAUAACUGCUGUUCUCUCUGCUGUAGAGCAUCUAGUUUGCUGGUGUACUCCUCAUAGGCCUCUAAAUAUAUUGAUGGUGGGUUAUGCUCUCCUCCAAACUUGUCUAACAGCGCUUCUAUAUGUUCUUGUGUUAAUUUAAUCAUCUGUUUGAUAUUCCACACCUCCUCCGGGAUGGCCGGGUCGCCGCCGCCGCUCCCGGCGUAGCAGGCGCCCAGCACGGGCGGCGGCGGCUCGGGCUCCAUGUCCCCGUUGAAGAGCGAGGCCCCCUCGGCGCUGCUGCCGCUGCUCAGCGCCGCCAUCUUGGAUCGAAGCGCUGGGGCGAGG